RNAcentral lists this long non-coding RNA (542 nucleotides) under Fukomys damarensis (Damara mole-rat). RNAcentral's name for it is "lncRNA (ENSFDAG00000031524.1)". The record is from RNAcentral. Lineage: Eukaryota; Metazoa; Chordata; Mammalia; Rodentia; Bathyergidae.
CUUUAUCUUUCUGGAAUGCUUCGAAACCCAGCAUAGCUUCUAUGGGAACCUUGCUUUUUUCCUACUCACUUAUGUGGCUUGGCAAAUAACUUCUAUGCCUGAAAGAUGAUGGUUUCAUAAUUGUAAGAUAUAAAAGUACUGUUUGAUUAGUGGGAGCAGGUCUACCACAAGUGGCGCCCAAACAGGGACCUGAAUACAAGAGGUACAGUGAAGGACACCGCUGGAUAAAGAAGACACAGGAGAUAUCCCCAAAAAGAAAAAAGAAAAAAAGAGGGCCUUCAAAAGGAAGGCAAAAGAGGAGGGCUUAUAGUUCUCAAGGAAUCCAACAGAAUUUAUUAGUGAUUCAACAAGGUCUGGACUAAGAACACAAGAAAAAAGAGCAACUCCUGCUCCCAGUUUAAAACACACCAGGUAGAAACUUCUCUAGCCAGCCUUCUGAAUCUGACCUUCUAGCAUGACAAGACAACAUUCAGGAUACCAUGCUGCUUAGAAGGUCAAUGCUACUGCUUUGUAUUGUCUUGAAUUUUACCCUUUGACACCAC